Molecule: ribosomal RNA, 282 nt
Filed under: uncultured bacterium
Lineage: Bacteria
Description: partial 16S ribosomal RNA
Rfam family: Bacterial small subunit ribosomal RNA
Source: RNAcentral
GUGGAUUAGAUACGCUGGUAGUCCACGCUGUAAACGAUGAUCACUCGUUGUUUGCGAUACACUGCAAGUGACCAAGAGAAAUCGAUAAGUGAUCCACCUGGGGAGUACGUUGGCAACAAUGAAACUCAAAGGAAUUGACGGGGGCCCGCACAAGCGGAGGAACAUGUGGUUUAAUUCGAUGAUACGCGAGGAACCUUACCUGGGUUUAAAUGGGGAGUGACAGCUUGUGAAAGCAGGCCUUCUUCGGACACUCUUCAAGGUGCUGCACGGCCGUCGUCAACU